This 153-nucleotide ribosomal RNA is filed under the name uncultured fungus. Its description in RNAcentral is "partial 5.8S ribosomal RNA". It matches the Rfam family "5.8S ribosomal RNA". Rfam says of the family: 5.8S ribosomal RNA (5.8S rRNA) is a component of the large subunit of the eukaryotic ribosome. It is transcribed by RNA polymerase I as part of the 45S precursor that also contains 18S and 28S rRNA. The record is from RNAcentral. Lineage: Eukaryota; Fungi.
AAGUUUCAACAACGGAUCUCUUGGCUCUCGCAUCGAUGAAGAACGAGCGAAAUGCGAUAAGUAAUGUGAAUUGCAGGACUCAGUGAAUCAUCGAAUCUUUGAACGCACCUUGCGCUCCUUGGUAUUCCGAGGAGCAUGCCUAUUUGAGUGUCA